Molecule: ribosomal RNA, 425 nt
Filed under: uncultured bacterium
Lineage: Bacteria
Description: bacterial SSU rRNA
Rfam family: Bacterial small subunit ribosomal RNA
Source: RNAcentral
GGGGAAUAUUGGACAAUGGGCGCAAGCCUGAUCCAGCAAUGCCGCGUGGGUGAAGACGGCCUGCGGGUUGUAAAGCCCUUUAGGCGGGGAGGAACGGUCGGCGGCGAACAACCGCCGGCGCUGACGUUACCCGCGGAAUAAGCACCGGCUAACUCCGUGCCAGCAGCCGCGGUAAUACGGAGGGUGCGAGCGUUAAUCGGAAUUACUGGGCGUAAAGCGUGCGUAGGCGGUUCGGUCAGUCAGCCGUGAAAGCCCCGGGCUCAACCUGGGAACAGCGGUUGAGACGGCCGGACUGGAGUGGGCUAGAGGAUCGUGGAAUUCCGGGUGUAGCGGUGAAAUGCGUAGAGAUCCGGAGGAACACCGAUGGCGAAGGCAGCGGUCUGGGGCCACACUGACGCUGAGGCACGAAAGCGUGGGGAGCAAAC